GGACUACUGGGGUUUCUAAUCCUGUUCGCUCCCCACGCUUUCGCUCCUCAGCGUCAGUACAGGCCCAGAGAACCGCCUUCGCCACCGGUGUUCCUCCCGAUAUCUGCGCAUUUCACCGCUACACCGGGAAUUCCGUUCUCCCCUGCCUGCCUCUAGCCUGCCCGUAUCCACUGCACGCCCGGGGUUAAGCCCCGGGAUUUCACAGCAGACGUGACAAGCCGCCUACGAGCUCUUUACGCCCAAUAAUUCCGGACAACGCUUGCGCCCUACGUAUUACCGCGGCUGCUGGCAC
This 292-nucleotide ribosomal RNA is filed under the name uncultured bacterium. RNAcentral describes it as "partial 16S ribosomal RNA". The record is from RNAcentral.